Molecule: ribosomal RNA, 471 nt
Filed under: Lysinibacillus sp. R28
Lineage: Bacteria; Bacillati; Bacillota; Bacilli; Caryophanales; Bacillaceae
Description: bacterial SSU rRNA
Rfam family: Bacterial small subunit ribosomal RNA
Source: RNAcentral
ACGGGGGCCCGCACAAGCGGUGGAGCAUGUGGUUUAAUUUGAAGCAACGCGAAGAACCUUACCAGGUCUUGACAUUCCUUUGAACACCCUAGAAAUAAGGUUUUCCCUUCGGGGACAACGGUGACAGGUGGUGCAUGGUUGUCGUCAGCUCGUUUCGAGAGAUGUUGGGUUAAGUCCCGCAACGAGCGCACCCCUUGUUUUUAGUUCCCAUCAUUUAGUUGGGCACUUUAAGGUGACUGCCGGUGACAAACCGGAGGAAGGUGGGGAUGACUUCAAAUCAUCAUGCCCCUUAUGACCUGGGUUACACACGUGUUACAAUGGACGAUACAAACGGUUGCCAACUCGCGAGAGGGAGUUAAUCCGAUAAAGUCGUUUUCAGUUCGGAUUGUAGUCUGCAAUUCGCCUCCAUGAAGCCGGAAUCGUUAGUAAUCGCGGAUCAGCAUGCCGCGGUGAAUACGUUCCCGGCCCUUG